AAAAGCUUUCUUUAAUUGAAUAAUUGAAUUUAAUUUUUUAGUGCAAAAGCAAAAAUAAAAAUUAGGGACAAGAAGACCCUAUGAAUUUUUUAUUAAAUUUUAUAAAACUUUAUAUAAAAUUUAAUUUAAUUGGGGUGAUGGAAAAAGAAUAAAUAUCUUUUUUUAAAAGAAAAUUGGUUCCGUUCUUAGCGAUUAAAUGAAAAAAAUACUCUAGGGAUAACAGCGUAAUAAUUUUGGAUAGUUCAUAUAGAUAAAAUAGUUUGCGACCUCGAUGU
RNAcentral lists this ribosomal RNA (275 nucleotides) under Ixodes ricinus (castor bean tick). RNAcentral describes it as "partial large subunit ribosomal RNA". The record is from RNAcentral. Lineage: Eukaryota; Metazoa; Arthropoda; Arachnida; Ixodida; Ixodidae.